AUUGAACGCUGGCGGCAUGCUUUACACAUGCAAGUCGAACGGCAGCGCGGGCUUCGGCCUUGCGGCGAGUGGCGAACGGGUGAGUAAUGCAUCGGAACGUGCCCAGUAGUGGGGGAUAGCCCGGCGAAAGCCGGAUUAAUACCGCAUACGACCUGAGGGUGAAAGCGGGGGACCGAAAGGCCUCGCGCUAUUGGAGCGGCCGAUGUCGGAUUAGCUAGUUGGUGGGGUAAAGGCUUACCAAGGCGACGAUCCGUAGCUGGUCUGAGAGGACGACCAGCCACACUGGGACUGAGACACGGCCCAGACUCCUACGGGAGGCAGCAGUGGGGAAUUUUGGACAAUGGGGGCAACCCUGAUCCAGCCAUGCCGCGUGCGGGAAGAAGGCCUUCGGGUUGUAAACCGCUUUUGUUCGGGAAGAAAUCCUCUGGGCUAAUACCCCGGGGGGAUGACGGUACCGGAAGAAUAAGCACCGGCUAACUACGUG
RNAcentral lists this ribosomal RNA (484 nucleotides) under uncultured bacterium. RNAcentral's name for it is "partial 16S ribosomal RNA". It matches the Rfam family "Bacterial small subunit ribosomal RNA", at positions 28 to 507 of the family's 1533-position model. The record is from RNAcentral.